UACGAAGGGGGCUAGCGUUGCUCGGAAUCACUGGGCGUAAAGCGCACGUAGGCGGAUUGUUAAGUCAGGGGUGAAAUCCUGGAGCUCAACUCCAGAACUGCCUUUGAUACUGGCGAUCUCGAGUCCGGGAGAGGUGAGUGGAACUGCGAGUGUAGAGGUGAAAUUCGUAGAUAUUCGCAAGAACACCAGCGGCGAAGGCGGCUCACUGGCCCGGUACUGACGCUGAUGUGCGAAAGCGUGGGGAGCAAACAGG
RNAcentral lists this ribosomal RNA (253 nucleotides) under uncultured bacterium. Its description in RNAcentral is "partial 16S ribosomal RNA". It matches the Rfam family "Bacterial small subunit ribosomal RNA", at positions 524 to 776 of the family's 1533-position model. The record is from RNAcentral.